Molecule: transfer RNA, 78 nt
Filed under: Aquimarina algicola
Lineage: Bacteria; Pseudomonadati; Bacteroidota; Flavobacteriia; Flavobacteriales; Flavobacteriaceae
Description: Flavobacteriaceae bacterium M625 tRNA-Ile
Rfam family: tRNA
About the family: Transfer RNA (tRNA) molecules are approximately 80 nucleotides in length. Their secondary structure includes four short double-helical elements and three loops (D, anti-codon, and T loops). Further hydrogen bonds mediate the characteristic L-shaped molecular structure. tRNAs have two regions of fundamental functional importance: the anti-codon, which is responsible for specific mRNA codon recognition, and the 3' end, to which the tRNAs corresponding amino acid is attached (by aminoacyl-tRNA synthetases). tRNAs cope with the degeneracy of the genetic code in two manners: having more than one tRNA (with a specific anti-codon) for a particular amino acid; and 'wobble' base-pairing, i.e. permitting non-standard base-pairing at the 3rd anti-codon position.
Source: RNAcentral
UGAGUUAUAAAUCAGUUGGUUAGCCUACAUGUGCUGAUAUCACAGAAGUCUUGGGUUCGAGUCCCAAUACCUCAACUA